UAAAGCAGAAGCUAUGUGGUAAGACAAAAUUGCCCCCGGGGCACAUCUCCAAGUAGUAAAAGGGGAGGGUGGAGAAAUUCAGCUUUGCUUAAGGCUGCUGCGUCAAGAGUUCAAAUCCUGAAAUAUGGAUUUGGCCCUUGGGUAAGUGCAAGUGUACAAGUAGCCUUUCACCCUGUACCCUUGGAGGCAUAACCUGCGAUUUACCUCCCUCACGAUACUCCAGGGCAGGGGUGGUGGGAGACCCUUAAGGUUAGGGUUUAACCUUUUUUAUGUGGUAAGACAAAAUCGAGUCUUCUUACUACAAUAGAUAUUUGAAAACCAAUAAGUACUCACAAAAUCUGAAGUAGACGUUUUAAAACGGUUAAAGUCUUUACAAUUCUUUUGCAAGUAUUCCGUCAAUUAGGCACCCUGUACCCUUGGAGGCAUAACCUGCGAUGUUUCUUGUGCACCUCAUUUAGAUAAAAAGGCUGUGGGAGACCCUUAAGGUUAGGGUUUAACCUUUUUUAUGUGGUAAGACAAAAUCGAGUCUUCUUACUACAAUAGAUAUUUGAAAACCAAUAAGUACUCACAAAAUCUGAAGUAGACGUUUUAAAACGGUUAAAGUCUUUACAAUUCUUUUGCAAGUAUUC
RNAcentral lists this long non-coding RNA (629 nucleotides) under Olea europaea (common olive). Its description in RNAcentral is "long non-coding RNA (OEUR_LNC007175)". Lineage: Eukaryota; Viridiplantae; Streptophyta; Magnoliopsida; Lamiales; Oleaceae. The record is from RNAcentral.